Molecule: small nuclear RNA, 107 nt
Organism: Ailuropoda melanoleuca (giant panda)
Lineage: Eukaryota; Metazoa; Chordata; Mammalia; Carnivora; Ursidae
Source: Ensembl
GUGACCGCUUUGGCAGCACAUACACUGAUAUUGGAACAAUACGGAGAAGAUUAGCAUGACCCCUGAGCAAGGAUGACAUACAAAUUUGUGAAGUGUUCCAUUUUUUA